CAGCUCGUGUUGUGAAAUGUUGGGUUAAGUCCCGCAACGAGCGCAACCCUUAUCCUUGUUUGCCAGCACAUAAUGGUGGGAACUCCAGGGAGACUGCCGGUGAUAAACCGGAGGAAGGUGGGGACGACGUCAAGUCAUCAUGGCCCUUACGAGUAGGGCUACACACGUGCUACAAUGGCAGAUACAGAGGGCAGCGAGACAGCGAUGUUUAGCGAAUCCCUUAAAGUUUGUCGUAGUCCGGAUUGGAGUCUGCAACUCGACUCCAUGAAGUCGGAAUCGCUAGUAAUCGUGGAUCAGAAUGCCACGGUGAAUACGUUCCCG
Molecule: ribosomal RNA, 321 nt
Filed under: Candidatus Portiera aleyrodidarum (primary endosymbiont of Bemisia tabaci)
Lineage: Bacteria; Pseudomonadati; Pseudomonadota; Gammaproteobacteria; Johnevansiales (SeqCode); Johnevansiaceae (SeqCode)
Description: bacterial SSU rRNA
Rfam family: Bacterial small subunit ribosomal RNA
Source: RNAcentral